AAUAACAAAAGCAUAAGCAGUAGAUGAAACCCAAGAUUGGAGUGUCUUCCCUUCCAUGAAAUCUCAGUUUCAUUAUUAGUCGACGUCGCAUCUUCUGUUUACAAAGAAGAGCCCUCUGACGACGGUGACGUAAAAUUAUUUGCAGGUGUAAAGGAGGCAUUGUUAGAAGACCCCGAGGACGAGAAGAAGACGAGUGGUGAAGCCGAGGCACGACCUGUGAGUUACUCAUACUCCUUCUUCCAUAUCAUCUGUGCGCUUGCGAGCAUGUAUGGUGCAAUGCUUCUCUCGGGAUGGACUGACUCAUCAAAGAAUGCGACUCUGAUUGAUGUGGGAUGGACCUCGGUCUAGGUCAAGAUAUGCACCGGUUGGGUCACGACCGGACUCUACAUAUGGACACUCAUUGCACCGCUCAUUUUUCCCGAUCACGAGUUCUACUAAAUAGAGGGUAACACGUGUAUAGUCAGGUCCAUAUAACUUUUGUGAUAUAUCUUUGUUUUGACGUUUAGUUUCUAUAUAUAUAUAUAUAC
Long non-coding RNA from Arabidopsis lyrata subsp. lyrata, 527 nucleotides. RefSeq lists it as uncharacterized. NCBI's taxonomy places the organism in Eukaryota, Viridiplantae, Streptophyta, Magnoliopsida, Brassicales, Brassicaceae. The record is from RefSeq and is a predicted model, not a curated record. The transcript has 3 exons.